CAGUCGCCGCGGUAAUACGUAGGUGGCAAGCGUUGUCCGGAAUUAUUGGGCGUAAAGGGCUCGCAGGCGGUUUCUUAAGUCUGAUGUGAAAGCCCCCGGCUCAACCGGGGAGGGUCAUCGGAAACUGGGAAACUUGAGUGCAGAAGAGGAGAGUGGAAUUCCACGUGUAGCGGUGAAAUGCGUAGAGAUGUGGAGGAACACCAGUGGCGAAGGCGACCCUCUGGUCUGUAACUGACGCUGAGGAGCGAAAGCGUGGGGAGCGAACAGGAUUAGAUACCCGCGUAGUCCCUGUCUCUUAUAC
RNAcentral lists this ribosomal RNA (301 nucleotides) under uncultured bacterium. Its description in RNAcentral is "partial 16S ribosomal RNA". It matches the Rfam family "Bacterial small subunit ribosomal RNA", at positions 509 to 807 of the family's 1533-position model. The record is from RNAcentral.